Molecule: unclassified non-coding RNA, 138 nt
Filed under: soil metagenome
Description: partial internal transcribed spacer 1
Source: RNAcentral
CUGGGUGGCUUCGGCCUAAAACCCCCUAACCAUUGUGAACGAUACCAGUUGCUUAGCUGGUGGGCGGUGAAAAACUGCAGUGCCGGCGGCAACAAAAACUCUUCUAAUGUCAUCUCUGAGUUACUUUUAAAUAAGUCA